This 4519-nucleotide long non-coding RNA is filed under the name Canis lupus familiaris (dog). RNAcentral describes it as "lncRNA (ENSCAFG00000057624.1)". The record is from RNAcentral. Lineage: Eukaryota; Metazoa; Chordata; Mammalia; Carnivora; Canidae.
ACUUUGCCAAGUUUCAUGGAGGGCCACAGGCCUGCCUCACAUACCCAGUUACUUCUCAAAACUAGCCACUGUUCUGACCCAGGUGCGUUUACUCAUGGGAGCUGGAAGCUGAGGCAGAUGGUCUACACAGGUAUGAUAGAACACUUUUUUGCUUCUGAAGUACAGUGGCUCAGCUCCUGAUGAUCUGAAUCAAGACUGUUGGAUUCUGUAAGUACAUCAACCACUACCUGCCCAAGUGAAGAACCAAGUAAAUGGUAGAAGUGGACGUGGAGGUCUCUACCCCAAUACUCCUCCUCCAGGAUAAAGACCAGAGGGUGGCCCCUUUUUGGAAACAUUCAGGAAAAAGAAAAAUCAUUCUCCCUUUAUCAAAAAGAAUCAUCAUAGCUUCUCUCACUUCAACUCAAGACACACUUGCUGAGUACCUAUGGUCAUAGCUCUCCUGGGGCUCUGAUUCCUGACACAAUCGGAUCUGUAAAUAUUCUUAGCAGAUAUAGGAACAUAGAGUUUGGAGCUCUUUAUUUUUGUUCACAUUUUCUUUAUAAGAUUUUUCUCACUGCUUAAGCUUGAUGUCCUAUGAAGUGUGAGGGAUCAGGCCAAGGACAGUGAAUCUCGAGGAAGAGUCUCUCUCUAUUAAAGUGGCUGAAACCCAUCAAGCUGGCUCACCUGCAGAACUAAAUGUUGCUUCUUGGCUGUUUGCCUCAAGGGAGCCACUUGAAUGAGCCUUUAUUUGAUGUUCCUGAAAACUGGAAAGAACAAAAAGACAGAGGGGAAGGGAUGAGGGUUAGAGUGUACUCUAGAAAUCAAUGAGGAUGGAAGGAAAGGGUUAGUGGGGAGGUGCCCUACCCAGGGGAAGAUCCAUGCUGCAGCCCCAACCUGCAGCCCCUAACUGGGUCCCUCAUAUAUGGUCUGGCUGCAUUCCCUGCAGGGUCCCCACACAGACCCUUCCUCAGCGCCCCCAUUCCAGGGCUGCUGAGAUAUGCAAUCCUAUGUCUUUGAUAUACACCUCAGGUAUGAGGGAGCCCACACACGCCUGGGAACUCACAUGCAGCCAGGCCUCCUGGCUUCUAGCCAGGACUCUCUGGACAGCCCAGUGGAGAUUAUCCCAGAUACAGAUAAUUCUGUUCUGAGUCUUUGCUUUUUUAGGCAAGUAAAGCUUCAGGAGAUUAGGGACUGAAGAAAGAUUGAAAAAGAGAUCAUGACUUCUCUCUGCCAAAUAAAGAAAGACCUUCCAUAUUGGUAGAGCACUGGAGUCCAAGAAAUGAGCUUGUCUAUAGUGUGAAUUUUUGCAUAGAUCUAACACCCAAAGGGCCUGAGGGCUUGGAAGUCUGGCAGGUAGGGGACCUCUAGAAAACACAGUAUGACUGCAAUUAUGCAAAGAUAGAACAAAACAAAAACAAUGAAGAAAAAAACUGACAGGAAAUAGUACAAAAUGUUAAGAGGGAAGAUUACAUAGUACAAUGACUCUGGAGUCAAUUAGACUUGGAUUUUAAUCUCAGCUCUGCCACUUACCGGCUGUGCUGCCUUGGGCAUGUUGCCUAACUUCUCUGAAAUGGUUUCUUUCUCUGCACUAGGAAGUAAUAGCACAUAUCUCAAAGAAUGAUUGUGAAAAUUACAUUACAUAAUGUAUGCUGCACAGCAGAAUGUUUAGUGCUUAAAAUAAUGUUCAAAAAUUGGAAACUAUUGACUAAUGUGGCUUUUAAGUGGUAAGGCUAUGGGUAACUUUUUCUCUCUAUUUUUUGAUCAUCCACAUUUUGUACAAUGAAUAUAUAUUACAUAUGCUGAAUCACAGUCUGGCAGCCUGACAACAGUUCUUUCUAUCCAGGCUUAUUCAGUGUGGCUCCUCACAAGGGUCUUCAGGUCUGCUGAGUGUAAACAAUGCCUCCUUCUGCCAGGGGAGCCUCUGCUCUCUGCAGGCUUGGCCGCAGUGAGGACGGACUGGGAUCCUGGAAACUAGAGAAGGAAGGAAGGCCACCAAAGACAGCUGCACUGUUUUCUUCUUGAUAAGUGACCAGAGGCCCUGAAGGAACACCAAGUAUCAUUUUUGUGCAAGUAGAACACAUCGAGAUAUUCUUUCAGGCAGUAUGCCAUUUAAGAUGCUUAGAAGUUACAUUUCCUUUCUGCAAAUAUCACAUAAUGGGUAGAAUUUUCCCCUUAACUAAGAUAUGGGGCAAACCCUAAAGCCCCCCCAAAAAUAAGCUCAAGCUGUCAAAGGCAGCUUCUCCAGUGCCUCAUCAUGCUCCCAGCCUCACCCCUCUUGGCAGGUGCAAAUGGUCAGGCACCUAGACUAGGCAGUAGGCAUGGUGACCACUGAUUUUCACAUUAUUACUGUUGCAAAAAAGCAGAGAUAUCAGACAGGAGAGAGACAAGUAAAGAUUUACCGCCUUUUCUGUUAGUGUUCAACAGUUGAACUGCACAUGUUCCCAAGAGUGUAAAGCAAUAACUAAUGGAAUUUAGAACCAAGGAUGACCUGACAGUUCUAAGCUUUGAUUCCCAUAUGAAGUUCAAUUUACUGACAUACCCAAGGUCAGAGAGGAUUCAGGGAGUGAUCUUGGUCAAUUCAACUACAGAGCCAGAACUAGAAGCCAAACCUCCUAAUUUUCAGCUGGUGAUGCUUCUUCUAACGAUGGGUUUUGCUUUUCCCCCAAUUGCUGAGAUUACUGCCUCCAGAGAGUACCACCUUCUUGGAAGUGCUUACUAUGGGAGCUGCUACACAAAUUGGGAGAACACGCCUCUUGGAUAUAAGUUAAGUGAGAACUGGAAGCAAAGCUUUGCCACCUGCAUUGUCCUGGAGUUGCUGUUUCUCAUGGCCAUAAACUCUUUCAGACUCCUCGUUAAAGCCAGCAGGGCAACGGCACAUGCCAGCCCCAGGUCAGCCCCCAUGGCUCUAGCAAUGGGACUGGUGACCAGAAUAAGAACACUGACUCUCAUCUCACCAUAGCAAUGAUCAGAAAACAGACUAGCUGCCAAGCAUCAGAAGAGUCAUGUUUCUACAUGGAUCCCUGCUGGCACAUGCCAUCCAGGAUGUAUGGGCAAUCCUUGGAAAGUCAUCUCCAUCACAGAUGGAGACUAAACCUGGAGCAUAACAAGAUGAUUGUAAAAAUUUAGUUGAACAUUAUUCAUUCUCUUUUAUAGCUUUGAGAUAUAAUUCAUGUGCCAUACAAUUCACCCAUUUAAAGCAUCCAACUCAAUGGUUUUUAGUAUAUUCGGAGUUUUGCAAUUAUCAUCUCAACCCAAUUUUAGAGUAUUUUUAUCACCACCGCCAAACAGACUCCCUAUCCCUUAGAUGUAAUCCUUCAUUGCCCCCAUUUCCCCCAGCCCCGGGCAACCACUAAUCUAUUUUCGGUCUCUAUAAAUUUGCCUACUUGGAUAUUACAUAGAAAUGGAAUCCUAUAACAUGUCGUCCUUUGUGAUUGGCCUCUUUCACUUAGCAAUCAUGUUCUCAAGGUACAUCCAUGAUGUAGAUUAAUUCUUCUUUUAUAGUUUUUGCACUAUCAUAUCUAGAUCUUACAGUGCCUGGUGGACUAUCCUCAAACAUUUUGGUUACUAUUGAAACUAGAAUGAAAAUAAAUUCUGCUUAUCCAAACUUUUAGUGAGCUAAUGUAAGUAGCAUUGUAUUAUUACCAAGAUGAGGUAAAUCAAUUUGUAUGCCUCUGUCAACAGCCACUGGAUACAUCAGCUUCGGAAAUGUUAACCUAUGUUUUGUGGUUGUAGUUUUCUGGUCAUAUAUAAAUCUAGGGCUUAUUGCAAGAAGCAAUUACCCCCAAAAUAACAGAGCCACAAAACUUGGGAAGCUUCUCUAUCUCAACAGAUGAAUUUUCAUGCAUCUCAGGGAUGCACUACACUGCCCUCUGCUGAGGAGUAUGCCAGGAAAAUUAAAAAUCACAAGAAUGUGACGAGACACCAGAGGGCCAGAGAAUCCAUUGCUGAAAUGGAUGAGAAUCCAUUUCUCACCUUUAUUUGUUCACUAUUCAAAGGACAUUUAAAGGUUACCAACACUGUGUCAGCCACUGUUCUGGUAGGAAUACAAACACAGGGCAAUGAUUCUUGUCUUUCAGAACUCCUUGUUAGAGAAGUUCUUUCACUCACAUGCUGGGACUCCUGCUCAACACAACUUCCCCAACUUCAGAGUCACUGGACCUAGACAAUGUUCAGAGCACUUGUCUCUUAUGCCACGUCAAAGGCAAUCCAAAGACAAGUGCUAAAAUGUAAAUAUAGCAUAGAUUGUUCUCUGUAUUUAAGAGUCUGUUUUUCUGGUUCUUUUUCUUAUUUUUCUUUUUCUUAUUUUUCUUUUUCCUGUUUUUUAAAUUCCACAUAUGAGUGAAAUCAUGUAGUAUUUGUCUUUCUCUGUGUGACUUAUUUUACUUAUCAAAAUACCCUCUAGUUCCAUCCAUGUCAUUGCAAAUGGAAAAAUCUCCAUUUUUGUGUCUGAGUAAUAUUCCAUUGUGUAUAUACCACAUCUUCUUUAUUCACUCAUCUGUGGAUGGAUACUUGGAUUUAUGCUGUGUCCUAAUUGUUGUAA